AAACCCUAAGUUUCGAAAAGUGAAGAAAUCUUUUAGAUAAUUUUGAAAUCUUUUCCAUACUAUGAUACUUUUUAGUUGAAGCAAGAAAUUCAAGAUUUCUUAACUAAUACCGUAAAGAAAGGGGUGUUGGCCAAGAGGAAAAAAUUUCAAAAGAAAACAAGGUUUUUUAGAAGCUCUAAACAAAGUGUUACCUCUUCCAGGAGGUUGCUCCAAAACCAAAACAAGUUAGUUGAAUGGAGAAUGAGAGAGAUUUGAUAUCAAGUUGAAUAGAGUUUUUCUCUCCCGUAAGAGGGCAAGUGUUUUUAUGGUGUUUUUAGCAUAUUCAAGAGUGAAGCUUAUAUAGGGGAUUUGCAUCUUGAAUUUCUCUAUUUUUUCUUGGAGAAAAUGAGGUAGUGGCCGAUGGAGGUGGUGGUGUUUCGGUGGAAAUGGAGAAGAGAGGACAAAUGGGUAUGGAGGUGUAAAAUGAUGAAGAUGGAACAGUGUUAUUUGGGAUACUUAGCAUGCUUGAGUAUAGAAUUAGUGUAAAUCCUCACUCUUUGCCAAGUGUACAAGCAUGCACAUUUUCUUAAUUUAUUUUCUAAUUAAUAAAAACAGUAAUUCUUCCUCUCUCACACACACAAAACCCAACACACACACAUAUAUAUAUAUAUAUAUAUAUAUAUAUAUAUAUAUAUAUAUAUAUAUAUAUAUAUAUAUAUAUAUAUAUAUAUAUAUAUAUAUAUGUGUGUGUGUGUUAUGCAUGUAUUUAUGUAUUAUUAUAUGCAUAUAUUAGUAUUAUAUAUAUACUAAUCAUAAAAGCACUUACUAAAAUUUCACACAUAAUUAAUAAAUUACUUUAAUAAUUUAGUGGUGUAGUUAAAAUUCCUAACAAUUCUUACGUAAUUAAUAAAUUACUUAAAUAAUUUAGUGAUGUAGUUAAAAUUCCUAACAGUUCUACAUUAAUAAUUAAUCCUAGCAAAUAGAGCACAUCAAGCAAUUAAUUUAGUGAUGUAGUUAAAAUUCCUAACAAUUCUUACGUAAGGAUUUUUGGUUUGCGGAGAUUUCAUUUGGGAUUAUGGUUUCGAGAAUGUGGGGUAUCACAAAGAUACUAUAUUAUAAAACUUCUUUUCUCUCUAAUUCUUGAAUAUUAAUGGAGGUUGAUUACUAAAAGCAGUGCUCCCUUUCCCGAUAGUAGAUCUAUUAAAACGCUCUCUUCUCUCUACUACUUUGAAAACCCUAAUCAUCAGCCACCUUCUUCUUCGUCGGCAUGCAACCAACGGAUGUCCUCCAUGUUAAGCAUAGUAAUAGUCCUUUCGCUAUCGAUGGCCAAACAAAACCCUCCUUCUCUUCCAUGGUCGCAUCGAAACGGUCGUCCCUCAGACCUCGCUUGGCCCCUGUCCCGAUGGUUCGUAGACCUCAUUUGGUUAUUAAAAACGCUCCUGAUAUUUUGUUACCUCUGUGGAGAUUGAUCAACUCAAUAAACCAUGUGAGAAUACUGUUAAGUAUAUAUUUUUAUACUUUAUCGUACCUUUUUAUUUGAGUUUUUUGUGUGAUUUAACGAUAAUUGGUGCUUAAAAAGUUGAUUUAUUGUAUUUUAGGUAUAAAUUGAAGAAUUGGAAAAGUUUGGGGUCAAAACUGCAAUUUUGAAGAAAAUAUGGGCCAAAAGUGAAUUAAUCAAAAAUCUGAAGAAAUUGGCACGGGACGGCCGUCCCAAAUUUACACCUAAAAAUGGGACGGCCGUGCCAAAUGCAGAAAUUGGGCAGAAGGUUUCGGCGAUUCUCGCGCGGCCGUGCGAGAAUUGCACUAAUUUUCGCGCGGCCGUGCCAAAUCACGCUGGAGACAAUUUUGGACUUUUAAGCACACAAGAAAACCUAGAAUCAUCUACCAAGUUGGAACAUCUAUUUAAGCCCAAACCAAGCGCGAAUCAAAAAACUUUGGACACAACCUUGGAGCGAGAGGAGCGAGAGAACGAAGAAUCGAAGACGGAGAAUUGACAAAUCUUCAUCACAAUUCUUCUUUCACCUAUCUUUUCUUAAUCUAUUUCGUUUUAUAUUUUUAUUAUGGUUUCCGUAGAGAACAUCCGUAGCUAAGUUUUUAAUCUAGGAUUUUGUUGGAACCCUAUGUGGGGAUGGUGAACCCGUUUUCUUGAGAUUAUGCAAUUAUGAUUUUAUGAUUAUUUCUUCUACUUGAUAUGAUUGUUAGUGCAUGAACUUGAUCAAUUUAUGUGCUUUAUCUGUGAUUAUUGGGAUUGACUCGACAAAGCUAUUUCGAUAAUUAGACGGUAAGUAGAAGAACCUUCGAGUAGUUUUCACCGAAUGAGUGUGUCAAUUGCAUGUGGUGUCGUAGACAUACAGAUAUCACCUUAGGUAGCCAUUUACGAGACUUGUUUGUUAAUGCUUUAUUCAUAAUUUGUUUGCAUAGACAUAUAGUGAACCGUUUAUGAAUAAUAGACUCAUAAUACACGCGACAGCGGGUUAUGAGUAAAUUAGUGUCUCGGGUUAAUAAUCAUGAAUCAUGUAUUUCAUAAUUGAGGGGUUUUGGGUGAGCAAUUCUUGCAUAGGGGGAAGAUAAAAUUCUAGGUCCGUUUUUAUUGAUAUUUUCUCGUGUUUAAUUGCUUUCAUAAUUAGUUUAAUUGUUUAAUUGAUUUUAUUUGACAACUUUGCGUAGGCUGGAUAAAAAUCAUAAUUGUUAGAAUUUGGUACUUAGGAUUAGAUAAUUUGAGUAUUCACUGUGGGAUCGACAUCCAACUCUCACGAGUCCACUUUUACUACUUGUUUGCUUGCGAUACGUGCACUUGCGUGUUAGGUAUUUAGCCCCCAACAAAUACUUUUUAUGAAGUUCUCGUCUGGGCAUCCUAGUCACCAAGAGAUCCGUAAUUAUAUUGAGGUUGAAUGGAGACUAGAUUCGGCUCAAGUUGUGGGUUUGCUGGAUCCAAGGCACGUCACCAUUUAUAUGGGACGUGUGAAGAUACGAAGAAGGCCUUAUCGUACAACUCUCACUCUAUAAAUAAAAUCCUAUACCGCCUCUUCAUAUGGCAUCUUGAUUUUGAAAUUGGAAAAGAUACCGCCUCUUCCUUAUUUUAAUUCGUCUCGCCUACAAAGAAUUGGAUCGUCGACGGGUACUGUGCUCCGAAUUGAUGAUCAAACAUUGGUACCCACAAAUCCUAUGUUCGCAAGAAUGUACAUUGAAAUUGAUGUAUCAAAACCCUUACCAUCACGGACAUGGGUAGGAACCACGAAAGAAAAUGGCUGGUGGUAGAAGAUUGAAUUAGAAGGGAACUAUGCAUAUGAUUGGGUUAUGUAGAAAACUAAGAAAUCCAAAUUUGGAUAAUACCAAUUCACCGAACUGUUGGAUUACACAAUAGCUUCAAGGAGCAAAAUGUUCAAAAAAUUAUCUUAAACAGACCUACUGUUGUUACCCCUGUAGUCAAUAGUCAAUAUGGCGGAAAACCAAGUGGACGAUUUGUGAGUGUAAUACCCAAAGAUGCUUCAAUGCAGCACAUCAAAGUAACAUCGAAGAAAACAAAAUUGACUCACAACAAUGAGGCACCUAUAGGGUCACAAUCCCAUACUCAGCCGAUUUCUCCAAAAGCAUCUAAGGAAAUAGGUGUUUUGUAUAGUUAUAACCCAAUAAAUGUUGGAGUUAGGGGAACACAUAUCGGAGAACACGAAUGCCUUGGGGAACUAAAUGAAGGUUAAGCGGUUUCCAAUUGAUUUCAUGUUUUGUAAGUCGAUGACGCAGCACAGUGUAAGGAAGUCGAUGACGCAGCACAGUUUACUAAUUUUUAGUUUUACGAAUACAAUAGUAGGACUUAAUCAAAAUACAAAGACUCCCUCUUUGUUGAGGCCGUUCUUGUAUACUACGCUGAAUUAUAAAUCUUCAAUUUGCAGCACGUCCUUUACUCCGCUCGGUUGAACUCCCUUCAACGCUAAAUCCCUCAGUCGGCGGAUGGAUCUCCUCCCGAUAUCUGUUUAGGCCCCUCUCCUGAAGAACCGAUAUUCUUUUUGUAUAGAAGAAGCAAACUUGUGAUAAUCCUUGAAUCUUGGUGUCUUCACCACAAAGUCUUGAAGCUGAUAUAUUUUCUAUGAAAAUCACGUAUCACGAUGGAGUAAUAAAAACGAGAGAAAAAAUAUUUUCUCUCGAACUUCUCUCGAUGGAAAAGUUGUAGGAGCAACAAAGAAAGGAAAAAAAAUUUUAUCUAAAAAAAGCACGCAACGGCAACAAGAAGAAGAGAAAAUUUUUUCUCUCCAAAAAGACGCCAAUAAAAACGAGCGUAAAGAAAAUAUCCUGUGUAAAUUUUUCUCUCCAAGAAGACGUGAAGCCUUAUGCUGAGAUUGCUCUCCUUUUAUAUUCUACGCCAUAAGAUCCCUAUACAAGGAAAAGUUAGAGACCAAAAUGUUACAAAUACUCAAAUCACGUAGGAAACUAAAUCUUAGAGAUAUAGGAGAUUUCUUUGCCAAUAAAUAAUUCCCAUAUUUAUUAAAACUCUAGCAAUAUAUGACAAUAAAAUAUAAAAAAGAUAGUUAUGCUUGUAUAAAGAUAAUUUCCACUAUUAAUCAAUUAAUGAUAAAAUAAAGAAUUAAAACACAAGGAAACUCCCCUUCUUAUAUUACGACAUAUCUAGACUUGUGGUACAAGUCUUUACACAUUUCCUUGCAAAGUCAGAAUCCAAAGGAUUCUAACAAUCACGAUCAUGUGCUGCUCUCGUAUAUAUGCUCUCCUAAGUUUUUUGAUUCACUGUAUAACAAGGAAAACCAGAGUCCAUUAGGGUUAGGAAACUUUUAAGAAGAAUAAUUUCUAUUAUAAAUCAAUUAAUGACAAAUUAAAAGAAUUAAAAGCUACAGGGAGGACUCGAUCUUCCCUUCUUUAGCUCACGGUAUAUGCAAACUUGUGGCACAAGUUUUAUUAAAUUCUCGUAUAAUUAGAAUCAAGGGGAUUCUAACACACUUCACUGUUAAUGAGAGUACCCCUAAUUUUUUUAUUUUUUUUUUGUACUCCAAAAAAGGAAGAAAAACUCACAUACCUCGCACGUUCAAGUGAUUCCGGCAAGAAUUGAAAGGAAAUGAUAACUUUAAGGCAGCGUUCGACAAGUUCAGGUAAAAACAUAUAAAAAACAUUAGUAUAAGGGGUAACGUGCAAAAAUACACGAUUGUUUGGGGGCAAAAUGCCAUUGGCCCUAUCAAUGAUUGUUGGAUGUGUUUAACAAUUUGUUAUCUAUCUAUCUAUCUAUUCUAUCUAUACUAUCUAUAAAAGCAUGAACGGGGUGGUGGUUUCUUCCCUUUUAUAUAGUGCCUAUUAUACCCCUAUGUUACUCAAUUAUAACAUUAAGUGACCUUAGUCAAUUAAGUAAUUAAAAAAUUAAAUAAUAAAUAAAUCAAAUUACAAUUAUCAUUCUCUAUAAAGAAAACAUUAAAGAAGUUCAUUUAAUUUAGUUUUUUAAUUAAUACGAAAAGUUUAUUUACUAAAAAUUAAUCAUCAUAAUUAUAAAUUAUGUAGAACUUAAUAUUACGUAUGGAUUUCAUGAUUAAACUUGAAGCUUAACUAAAUACAAUUGUUAUUUUGCACUUUUGAGUCAAAUAAAAAAUAAACCAAAUAAAAUCAAGAUUAAUUAGAAAUUAUAAUCAAGAUUCGGAGCUAUUUCAUUUUUGACUUUCUAGACAAAUAAAAAAUAAAAAUAUUUUAAUACAAAAUAGAAUGUAAUUUCAUUUUUCAUUCUUUUUAAUAUUCUUUUUAAUAAAAGUAAUUCAUUACAAGAUUGAAUGUAGUUCCAUUUUCUUUUGUUUGAAUAUAUUAAUUCAAAACAUAAUCAAGAUUCAAUGUUAGUUAUAUUUUUGUUUAUUUCUCAUAUUUUGCGCUUGAAUAAUUAAAAUUAUUAUUUAUAACAAUAAUGUUAUAUGUUAGUAUUUUUAUCGCUCGGGUAAAACUAAUUUACUCUAUCGACAAUUGUUAUAUAUGUAUGGUAACUUAAGAGAAUACAGAAACAGAAAACAUAUGAAAAUCAUAAAAUAUUCGUAAUUUAUUAUUCAAUUUAUUUUUAUUUAUGAUAUGGUACAAAUUUAUAACUUUAAUAAUACUUAAUAAUAUUUAAUUAAUAAAUUUAAAUAGAUAUAUUCGAGUGACAUUUUCAUAUGAAAUUUUGCUCCAAAAGAUUAAAUUACAGUGAGCUCGUAGGAAAUUCACAUGUCAUAGCCCAUAAAUAAACGUAUUUCAUACGCUACAAGUGAAAAAAAAGGAGAUCAAAUAGUAAUGCUGAAAGAUUCUUUUAGAACUCUACGUGCGGAUUUAAAAUCUUUUAAAUUAGAAUUGAUAUUUAGGUCAUUUUUCACAUCUUCAAAAUAAUUUUGAUUAAAGUCUUAUUAUGUUUUAAUCAAUUUAAUUUUCAUCACCUAUGCCUUUUUUUUUCCCCAACAUAACAAUGUUCCACAUGUUUUUGAUAUUUUGUAAUAUAUUAUGUAAUUUUAUGGAAAAUUAGGAUUUAUUUAAAUUAUUUUGUACAUUACAACUCAAUCUAAAUAAGAAGUUUUUGAAAUUAUAUAUUUUUUACUGCACUAUGAAAAACAUAAAUUAAAUUAUGCUUUUAAAUUCUUAAUAAAAAUAAAAUAAAUAAAAAAUAUGAAGUAAGAAAUAUAAAAUAUAAACAAGAAUGAUAUUUGUUUUUCAAAGUUAAAAUAUCGUGUUGUAUUCAUUUUUUGGUUAAAGUAUCGCAAGAAUUUAUGUGGAGUGCAUGUUUCUAUGAGAUAUAUAAUUUAUAGUGAAUUUUGCCAAUUUUAAAAUAUUCGAGUUCGAAAUGUCAAUUAGUGUCAAUUUUGAGAUGCAAAACGCAAUUCACUCGGCUAUAAGGAAGAAAUUGAUGAAUGAUAGUGAGUUCCAAUAAAACAAAUGCAAAAAGAAAUUAACUAAGAAGCAAGUAAAUAUCAUUCAAAAUUUUGAUAGCAAAGAUGAUGAGCAGAAAUUGUAAUAAUUGAAACGAAAUGAUAAAAAAUAACAGUUUCAUGAAUAUACAUAAUGAAUAUACAUAGGUAAAACCGUAUGAAUAUUUUUAUAUCUAUUUUACUAUUAAUUAAUAAAUAAUUUAAAUAAUAUUAUAUACCAAAUAAUUAUCAAUGUCACCAAAUAUUUUUCUAAUAACAAUUUAACUAUCAAAUUAGAUUAAAAUAGAAAGAAAAAUUAAUAUAUCGCGUGCAACGCACGCACACCUUUCUAAAGUGCAAAAAAAAUUUGUGAAAAAAAUUAAUGGCUAGAACCCGUCUUAGUCAAAGUCAUACACUCCCUCCCUCUCGUUCGUGUCAUUCACGUGCUAUCUAUGCGACUGCGUGUGCGAUAUGUUAUGUGAAAAGACAUAAAUGCCCCUUAGAAUCUCUCGGCUUUUCUGGUUCCAUUUUAAACAAACAAAAUAAAAGAAAUAAAUACUGAAUAUAAAUAAAUUAAUUAAAAAAGAACAAAACAAAACAAAAAAAAAAACGCCGCCGGCAAUUAGUUUAGAUCUUCUCCAAUGUCGUCGCCAAUUCGAGCUCCGGCCAUCUCCGCUUGCCGAAGUCUCCAACCAAUUGCAAAACCCACCGCAAACUCUUCUCCUGCACAUGGCCUUUCCGCAUUUUGCGGGGCGGGGGUGUUUUGCAUUUAACUCAUUUGAUAUAAUAUAGGCUACUAGAUAGUAAUUUAACUAUUCUUUGACCGUGGUUUAAUGUUUUAACAAUUAAUAAAUACAACACAACCCCCUGCAUUUUAGUACCACUUGUUUGUUAUACUAAAAUAUUCCCAUACUCAUUCUAAAAGAAAAUUUAAAAGAAAAAAAAAAAAAGAAUAUUUCCAUGAUCUAGUAGUAAAAGGAAUUGCAAAUGGAAGCUUAGCAUCAUUGACAUUGACAUUGACAAAGCUCAAAGCUGUCAUUCUAAAUGUAUCAGAUACAUUCUCACAACCUCUUUCACACAAUUCAUUGAGAAAAUAUGCGAUGAAGUCUCCAUCUCUGUAUAUCAUCUUCGCCGUAGCUUUCUUCGUCUUCUUCAUCGAUCUUACCUGCGUCGAAUCCCAGUCGUUGGAUUAUCCAACGGCAAACCUCUCCACUACUUGGAUCAACAGUGUCUCCGCAAGUCACUCGGUCAGCUUCUCAGACAACUCAACCAUCAGAGCAAUCCUUCUCCGAGGAACUUUCGGCCCCAGAUACGCCUGCGGAUUCUUCUGCAACGGCACGUGCGACACUUACCUCUUCGCCGUAUUCAUCGUCCAAACCAACAGCGGCGGUGGCAUCACUAUGCCGUCGAUAGGGUUCCCGCAGGUCGUCUGGUCGGCCAACCGGAACAAUCCGGUCAAAAUCAAUGCAACCCUGGAGCUCACGGCCGACGGCAACUUGGUCCUGAGAGAUGCAGAUGGCACAUUGGCGUGGUCGACCAACACCGGUAAAAUGUCCGUGCGCGGCUUAAACAUGACGGAAUCCGGAAACCUAGUUCUCUUCGAUUCGAAAAACUCCGUUGUCUGGCAAUCAUUUGAUCACCCAACCGAUGUACUUGUCCCAGGUCAGAUCUUAGUAUCCGGUAAGAAUCUGACCGCGAGUUCUUCGCCUACGAAUUGGACAGACGCCGGCCUUUUUUCGCUGUCAAUGACUACCACAGGCUUAGUUGCUUCUAUCCAAUCAAACCCUCCGCAGGUAUACUACGAAAAUUCGUUAAGUGGCACCAAACAGAAUACAGAAUUAAGUUAUGCUAAGUUUCGAAAUGGGAGUUUAGAUUUAUAUUUAAAUUCUGUCGAACCAACCGAUCCCGAUUUAUCGAUACCGAUUCCCGAUGCUAAGUCGGCUCAAUUUAUUAAAUUCGGGUCCGACGGGCAUCUGAGGGUGGUUGAGUGGGGACAACCAUGGAAGGAAGUAGCUGAUCUUCUUACAGGCUUUCUCGGUGUGUGUAACUAUCCUAUGGUUUGCGGUACGUACGGAGUUUGCUCGAACGGGCAAUGUAGCUGCCCGAGAUCGGGUACUAACGAAGUCUACUUUUCGCCGAGAAACAGUAGGCGCCCUGAUCUCGGUUGUCUCGAAGUGAAACCACUCGGUACUAGUUGUAAUAAUGUUUCGGAAAAUCACGGGUUUGUGGAUUUGGAAGAUGUGAACUACUUUGAGUUUGUGACGGAUAUUAGUAACACUAAUAUGGAUACAUGUAAAGAGGCUUGCUUGAAGAAUUGUUCUUGCAGAGCUGCUAUCUUUCGAUAUGGUUCUAAUCCUUCUGGCGGGGACUGCUAUUUGCCGUCACGCGUCUUUUCCUUGAUGAAUAACAAUCGAGCGCUAACAAAUUUAAAUUCUUCGGUUUCUUUGAAAGUGCAGAUUAAUGCUCCUCCUGCUGUGAGUGCUCCCCCUACUGUGAGUACUCCCCCUGCAGUAGGUACAGUACCCCCUACUACAGAUUCCAAGGGAAAUAAAAAAAGCUCUGUUGGAGCUAUACUUGGAUCAAUUGUUGGAGUUCUUUUUAUAUCGGUUGUUAUCGGAAGUGCUUUUUUCGUUUACCGAAAAAGGAGAAAACCCGAUGAAGUUGAGGAGGAUUAUUUAGAUCAUGUACCCGGGAUGCCGACGAGAUUUUCUUACGAACAGUUGGAAGCUGCAACGGAGAACUUCAACAAGAAACUCGGUGAGGGAGGAUUCGGUUCGGUUUUCCAAGGGUUGUUGAAAGACGGUACGAAAAUCGCGGUGAAAACGCUCGACGGAGUUGGACACAUCAAGAAGUCGUUUCUAGCAGAGGUCGAGAGUAUAGGGAGCAUUCACCACGUCAACUUGGUGAGACUCAUCGGAUUUUGUGCCGAUAAAUCUCACAGGCUUCUCGUUUACGAGUACGUGGUUAACGGGUCAUUGGAAAAAUGGAUAUAUACAGGAAGACAAGAGAAGUGCCUCGACUGGAAAACGAGGAGAAAAAUCGUUCUUGAUAUAGCCAAGGGAUUAGCCUAUUUACACGAAGAUUGCAGGCAAAAGAUCAUCCACUUAGACAUAAAGCCUCAAAAUAUACUUUUAGACGAAAAUUUCAAUGCCAAGCUGGCAGAUUUCGGGCUUUCGAAGCUAAUCGAUAGGGACCAAAGUCAAGUUAUGACAACCAUGAGAGGCACUCCGGGCUAUCUUGCACCGGAGUGGCUGAGCGCGGUUAUUACAGAGAAAGUGGAUGUUUACAGCUUCGGGGUUGUGGUUUUGGAGAUUGCGUGUGGUAGGAAAAUAUUCGAGCAAUCUAAGCCCGAGGAAGAAAGGCAUUUAUUGAGUGCUUUCAAGAAAAAAGCAGAGGAAGGGCAGUGGCUUGAUCUUGUGGAGAAUUUCCAUUGUGAGGAUGUGCAGUCGAACGUGGAAGAAUUGGUUGAGAUGAUGAAAAUCGGGGCUUGGUGUGUACAAAACGAUUACACGAAAAGGCCAGCUAUGUCGAUGGUGAUGAAGGUUCUGGAAGGUGGUAAAGAUGUUGAUAAAGAUAUUGACUAUAGUAACUUCUUAACUCCACCGCGGUAUGUAAUGAACGAUAUAUCGGGAAUCGACUCUGAAGAUGCAACUCGUUUGCUUCCUUCGGUUCUAUCGGGGCCAAGAUGAAGUUUGGUGUUUUCGGGGAGUAUGUUAUUCUUUGAUUUCGUGUUUGAUAAUGUGAGACUUGUUUUUUCUCAUUUGAUUCGUUUGUUUGAGUGUGAGGAGUUCAAUGAUUUCGGGCCAUUUGACUUUCCCUUUUUUACGUGUGGUGUGAAGUACAACAAAAUUUGAUCCGAUAUUGUUUGGAUUUCUUGUGGAUGUUGGAUGACAUAAAUCCUCAACAUUUUGUAAUUAUUUGAUUUUAUUUUACAUCUUUCCACAGUAUGAACAAAUUUGUUGGUGUCGGUAAUUGGGAUAAAAAUAGAAUUUAUUCUAAGUAAUUUAUUUUGGCUUUGCUUUAUUUAAAUUUAAAAAAACAAAAAGCCACAAUCUAUCUAUAUCUAUAUAUAUUGUCCUAUAUUUUAGAUUAUAUUAUAUUAAAUUAUAUUAUAUUAUUAUACUACACUACUUAUAAAAGUACUAAUGUGAUUUGUGAAUUUUUCUUCUUUUUUACUGUACAAUAAUAUCCAUUUCAAAGAUAAUAUGAUUCAUUCUAACAAAUUAAUCCGCUCAAUUUUGUUGUUAUUUGGAAGUUUGUAGAAUAUGAUUCUUUAAUUUAUAAAUUAAUCUGUACGAUUAAUGUGAAAGAUGAAUGUUUAGUGACAAUUAGUUAACAUCAAUUUCAUUGAUAAGAUAUUUGUAUGGGUUAGUCAUUAAUAUGUACGUUGGUAAUAUCCCAAACAAUUGCAAUAUAACUCAUAAAAAAAAUGGGGAAAUUUGCUAGAUACCCCUUAUUUUGGACUUAUGUAGGUGGAGAUUCAAGCUAUGUUGCACGGACACCUCUGGAUGGUGAAGAAUCCCUGUAUCCGAUACACGGACACUCGAAAACUUCCGGACACGGCUCGGACACUCGUGUCGAGCCGUGUCGUAAUUAAGCUAAAAGUAGGACACCCAUUUUCGAACUGUGUCUGCAAUUUUAAAAAGUUUGGACACUUUUAAGUUUUAAAAGCCAUCCCUAAUAAAAAUAACGUGAAUCGCAAUAUGUUUUCUUCUCAUAAAGCACGUCCCUCUCUUCUGUGAAAGUUCACCAAAAUUCAAAAACCCUAGCUUUAAUUUUAUUGUUACUUAAUUAAAUAUUGUUAUAAUUUAUAUUGAAAUGUGCAAAGAAAAAUAACAAUUUGUAACAAAAAAAAAAGAAUAUAUAUAUAUAUAUAUAUAUAUAUAUAUAUAUAUAUAUAUAUAUAUAUAUAUAUAUAUAUAUACUAGCAAACAACACGUGCGUUGCACGUGGAAAUGUAUGAUUUGACUUAUUAUAUAAAUGUAUAAUUAAAAAUAUUAAAGUUAGAUGUAAUAUUUAAAAGUAAAUUAAAAUUAAAUAAAAUCAAGUAAGUAUAAAAAUUAAUGUUGUUAUUAUGUAUCUAUGAAUGGUAAAAUAUAAUUAUUUUAAAAAUUAUUUGAAAAGAAUAUAAAAUAUAAAACAAAAUAACUAAAUUUUUUUUCUAUAUAUUAGUUCAUACAUGCUCACAUUAUGUUUUCCCUGAUUUUAUUGUGAUUGUUGAAACAAUUUUCAUUUUAAUGAGUUUUUCUAUAUCAGUAUUUUUUAAAACUAUUAAGUUUUUAUUUUCGUGUUACUUAAGUUAUGGUCUCCCUGAUCAAAAUGUCGACACUUGAAAUUUGAAUAUUAAUGCCUUCAAAAAAUUUGAAUAUUAAUUUAAUUAUAGCUAUUAUCGUUUUUAUUCAUCUUUUUUUUUUUCAAUUUUCUUCAAGGAUACAUCUUGUAUUUGUCACAGCCUCACAGGUGUCAGAAUAAUAUACUUUUAUAUUUAAAAAAAAAAGAAUGAUAUAUCUUUAUAUUUACAAAAAUAAUUUUCUUAAAGAAAUUUACUUUAGAAAUAUUAAAAUAUUUGAGAUUCUAAUGUAGCAAGGUUUAUUGAUGAAAAAUAUUAGGGUAAAUUACAAACACCCCCCUGAGGUAUGGUCAAAUUACAAAAACCCCCCUCUUGUUUGAAUAAUUACAUCUACCCCCUCAACUAUGAUUUUUUCUUAGACCUCCACCUUUAUGGUGCCAAAUUCAACAUAGUCAUCUAGAUUCCGUGAAAUCNNNNNNNNNNNNNNNNNNNNNNNNNNNNNNNNNNNNNNNNNNNNNNNNNNNNNNNNNNNNNNNNNNNNNNNNNNNNNNNNNNNNNNNNNNNNNNNNNNNNUUAUCCAAACAAGAGGGGUGUUUUUGUAAUUUGACCAUACCUCAGGGGGGUGUUUGUAAUUUACCCAAAAUAUUAUAUUAUCCAAUAGCAUGUGAAUUAAGUAUUUUCGACUUUCAAGAUCGAAAUCAAUAUCGCUAAAUGAAGAUAUGAAUUAUAAAAUAGUAAUAAUUAAAAAACAGGGAGGUAGAGACAACUAAAUACAAUUGGACAUGCAUAUUUAUUCAAGUAUCUUGAGUUAGCCAAUUCAUAUAAGACAUGUUAAUCACGUAUAAUAAUAUUCAAUUUACUACUUAUGGGUAAUAUAAUCAGUGCAUAAUUCAUAAUUUUAUUGUUACCUUGGUGUUAUAAUAUCAUCAUCAUAUUAUUUUUUGUUAUUGUUGAAACUUUAAGUGAGAUAUGUUUUGUUACUGGAGUCAUAAUAGUUAUCGAUCUUCAGUUUCACCAAUAAUUUUCUUACAAAGAAAAGAUAAUUCAGUAAUUAUAGUGACCAUUGAUGUUUUUUAAACUAUAUGUUUACCCUUGACCAUAUAUUGAAUAAUUAUAGUGAUCUCUCCUGAGAUCAAAUCUAAUUACAUACAUAUACACCGUAAAUCUCAUAUUUAAAAAUAAAUAAAUAUUAUAUUAAAGAUGCUCCUCUUAAGUAUACUUUUAAUUAUUUAAUUACUAAUAACAAAAUAAAUAUUUUUAUAAGAUAUUUUUUAUAGAGAAAUUAUAUUAGAAAAUUAAUACUAUUUAAAAAUAUAUAACAUAAAUUAAAUUAAAUAUUUUGCUUGUUUCUAUUUUGUACCCUCGGAAUGUAUCAUUUAUGCACUUGGCUCCCCCAAAAAAAAUCUCGAAAGGAAUUAAAUCAUUCGCAUUGCAUCCUAUUUAAAUUUUAAGGUUAAUGAGGAUAAUUUCAUCUUUUAGUGGCAUUUUGAAAUGAUAAUUUUCUUUGGAGUGAUCAAAUGUAAUUUAAAUAAAAUAAUUUUCAUAAUUAAAGUGUGAAAUUAUUGAAUAGGUAUAUCUUUAAUUUUCUUGGAAUUGGUAAAAAUAUAUUGUUCUUUUGUUCUUUUUUUUUUGUAUGAUUUUUUUUUUAUGUAAUUUUGUGACAAAGUAGUUGAAGGGUGGAAAAAUUAUAAUUCUAAAACUCAGUACAAAGAUGACAAAUACUUUUGUAUCGGUGUAAUUAUUGAGGAUAUUUUUAUCUAUGCAGUAGUACUUAUUUUAUGUAAUUGUUUAUUUCAUUCACUAUUAAAUUAUUUUCUUGCUAAAAUUACUUGAAAAUUAAAUUUUGUUAUCUAAAAUAAAAUUUAAAAUAUUUUUAAUUUUAAUAAAAUAUCAAUUGGGGGUUGCUGUGUGAAUCAUUUAAUCUUUUAAGGGUGCAAUGUGUUAUUAAUUUUUUUGGGUGUGCAAAGUUCCAAAGUGUAUAUUUCGAGUCUGCAAAGUGUUUUUGUUUAAUUAAUCCUUACCUUUAAAUUUAUGAUUGACAUAUGCUUGUUUAAAUUUCAUGUAUUUUUUAACAAUAGUAGUCAUGUUUCAAUACCAUUUUAUUUUACAUAAAAUAUUAUAUUCGAAAAUGUAAGAUACAUAAAACAAUAUCAUAUUAUCAUAUUUGUGGAAUAUACGUAAUAAAUAUAAUCUAAUAAUUAAUUUAAAAUUCGAAACUACUUUAUGUGUAAAACGAAAAACAAAUUUCUACAUAUAUGCUUAUAGUAUGUGAUUGUAAAACUCUUCGAAUCUAGUUUAAGACGAAGUUAUUUUAUCUAAAAAAUAUUAUGUAGAAAAAAUUACAAAAAUAAGAAAAUCAACGAACUUGUGUAAAUAUUUGAGCAUAUGAAAAGACAUUAGAUAUUUAAACAAUAUUAUUUUACUAUUAAUUUGUUAUUUCAUUAUGCUUAUUACACAAUUAACCAUAACUAAUUAAUGGUGUAAGUUAGUUUACAAAGGGCAUAAUAGGAAGCACAUAAAUGUUAAGAAAAAAAAACAUUCAUACUUUUAUAGUUGGUAGGGAUAUAUAUAUAUAUAUAUAUAAUAUAUAUACGUACUGUGCCACGAGCCCGAUUUAGAAAAAUACUGUUACGAGAGCUCAAUCACCUUCAAAUUAGAUUUGAGCCCAAAAAAUUAAUCGCAGCCCAAUGGACAAGGUAUAAAUAACGAUAUAAUUCAUUUAUUAAAGGUGCUCCGUAUUAUCUCAACAAGACUACAAGUCAUAUACUCUCAAGUAUUUCCUAUAAUUCGUACAUCUGACUUGAGCGUCGGAGGGGUUUCCGCCGGCCUCUGGCUCGUUCAACCCCCGGCCCGGUUCACGUAUGUUUUCUAUUCGCAGCUAUCUCAGGGUCAUCUAGCACGUGAGCGGUGAUCCACUUUGCUCUCCCAGGUCCUUCGGUCUCAACUACUUAAGGUGAUCUAUUACUACCAUCAUUAUAAUGGCGCCGUCUGUGGGAAAGCAUACAAGAUCACGUAGCGCGCAUGGUGUCCUUGAGACAUCUACUUAGAGAGAACAUGCCAAUGCUAACAACCUCCCACCUCGUGGAGGCUCUGGCUUGGCACUUCUUCCGACUAAUCAGGAUCCACCUCAUGAGGUCCAGAUAAAUCACCCGCAUGAUCCACCAUUCCCCGCUCCUUGAACGGUUCAAAUAAUCGAAGAGGCCCUCCAACACAUGAUUGCGGAAGCUUCAGCUCGAGCUGCUAAUGAAGCAGUGGCACAAUACAUCGCCACAACGGGAGUCAACGCUCAUCUCCACCCGUGGCACAACGACCUCCACCACCACCGGAUAACACAUCCACCUCAGACCCUAGGUCUCGGAUGCAACAAUCUACUCAUCGCCAUAAUGCACGAAUUGGGCGACAAGACCCACGUUCACCUUCAAGAGGCAACGUCUUCUGCCAACGAGUACCUCCACACAAUGCUGCAGAUGAUGAAAUUAACAGUGGCUAUCUCGCUCAAAUCACCUUCCCCACAUAGAUAAUCCUAUUGGUGGAAGGGCAAUACCUCCAAUAAGGUGCAAUCCCUUCACUGUCGCAAUAAUCAAUGAGAUACUACCCCAACGGGUAAAGGUCUCGAGUCUACCACAGUUCGAUGGAACUAGUGACCCACAAGACUACCUUGAAAAGUUCUACGCCAUGACACGAUCCGGUACCCUUUUCGACUUGGCUCCCAUAUCGACUCGUGAGUGGGGGCUAAUGAUAUGCCUAAUUGGGCCAGCCCAAUUAGCCUACUAUUUCUCUACGUACUGGGCCACGAGCCCGAUUUAGAAGAAUACUAUUACGAAAGCCCAAUCACCUUUAAAUAUGAUUUGGGCCCAACAAAUUAACCGCAGCACGAUCGACAAGGUAUAAAUAAAGAUAUAAUUCAAUUAUUAAAGGUACGCCCUAUUAUUAGAAUAAGACUACAAGUCAUAUUCUCUCAACUAUUUCCUACAAUCUGCGCGUCUGACUUGAGCGUCGGAGGCGUUUCAGUCGGAUCGACCCCCGGCCUAGUUCACGUGUUCUCUGUUCGCAGGUAUCUUAGGGUCAUCCUACAACGNNNNNNNNNNNNNNNNNNNNNNNNNNNNNNNNNNNNNNNNNNNNNNNNNNNNNNNNNNNNNNNNNNNNNNNNNNNNNNNNNNNNNNNNNNNNNNNNNNNNCCCGAUCGGGAUAUUUAAUCCCGAAUUAGGAAAAAAAAAAACUAAUAUAUAUAUAUAUAUAUAUAUAUAUAUAUAUAUAUAUAUAUAUAUAUAUAUAUAUAUAUAUAUGUAUAUACAUAUAUAUAUAUAUAUAUAUAUAUAUAUGGUCCCGGAUAUGAGAAACACAAUAAAAAAGCGAGUGCGUCCACAUGUAUAUAAAUUUUUAAAAUUGUAUGUGCGCCCAGGUGUGUGGGAAAGAAAAAAAGCGCGAGAACAACUGUGUGUAUAUGAUAUAUAUGGGGGGGCCCAGUCCCAAACCCAAUACCCGAGAAAAACAGGCGCACCCUCUCAUCGUUUAUGCGCAAGAUGGGGGAGCUCCCGCCCCCCCCCCCCACUCCCCAAAUACCCGGAGCCCCCCCCCACACGCCCAAAUUCCCGAGCGCCCCGCCCGAGAGAUCCCCUAUCGCCCCCCCCUCCCCCGACACCGACCCCCAAACGCGCGAACUCCCGCGCCCCCCCCCCGCGCCCCCCCCGUGCGGGCGUCAUAUAUAUAUAUAUAUAUAUAUAUAUAUAUAUAUAUAUAUAUAUAUAUAUAUAUAUAUAUAUAUAUAUAUAUAUAUAUAUAUAUAUAUAUAUAUUGUCAAGGAGAUGAGAAAUACAAUAUAAAAUAUAUUGUUUCAACUUAUUUUUAAAUUUUUAAAAUUUUAUUUGUUCCAAGUUUUGUGGUAAAAAUAAAUAAGGCAAGAACAAUAGUAUGUAUAUAAUAUAUUUAAGUUGGUUUAGUGUAUAAAAUAAUAUUAAUGGAAAAAAGAUGCAAUAUUUCUUAGUUUUUAGGCAAAAUAUGGGAUUUCCCGAUCCCAAUCCCGAUUCCCGAAAUAUUUAGGGAUACCGAUAUAACGGGGAUUUAAUAGUUUGGGACGGGAUUGAGAUUUAAAAUUUCUAUACCAAAUCCCGAAACCGAUCCAAAAAAUCCCGAAUUCCCGAAAUCCCGUCCCGAACUCACCCCUAGUGGCCGUAAUUUAAAUUUUUGAAUAACCCACAAGUGACAAGACUAUCGCCCAUUUCUAAAGACUCCGACAUACUUUCUUCUGAUUCAAAUCGCACCAACGGUUAGUCCUCCAUUUCAAACCCUAAGGAUCUUCUCUUCGAGUAAGUAACCCGAAUUGAAGCCGUCUAGUUCGUGAAAAAGUUCAGUAAGUAUGAAAUUCUUGCUUAUUUCUUACUGCGAUGACGAAAUUUUAACGACCCUUUUGGUUUUCGUCUUUUGCUUUUUUCCCCGUUCGCCUUGUUCAUGUGUGAAUUUUUGAUUGACUUGUUGUAUAGAAUUUUAAACCCAUCAAAUCCAGUUAAAAUUCGUUGUGUACACAGUAAAAUUCUUGUAUUUGCAUUUUUUCUUACAUUGUCUUGGUCUACUGUGUGUUCUGUUGUUCUUACAGGAAGUUCAUGUUCUACUAUCAAGAAUCAGAUUGCAGAUUCUGUUCGGAGAUUUCCAUUAAAUUGUGGUAAUAUGUCUCCAUCUAAUAUGAAAUGCCCAAAAGUUGAUGUUGUUAGCGUUAAACGGGACCCUAAAAAGUCGGUUGUUGGACAAAAAAAUGCCGACAAGGACGAGAAUAAGGUUCGUCUCUUAAAAGAGUCGUGGGAGUGUGAAUCGGAGAAACUGGCAGCAGUUAUUGCCGAGGCUAAACGGUACAUUAACGAGUUUGAUGCUAAGCAUAACUAUACGGAAUCGAAGAACUCGGAAAAGAGAACGAGAGAAAAUCACUGUCCUGAAUUUCAGGAUUUCGAUGAGAAAAAGAUGAAGGUUGAGGAAGACGACAGUGAAGAGGAAGAAGUUUGCGUUGUAUCGCCCGCAGAGUGGACAGGUUCGAAAUCUGGUUUCAAGAACGGUGUCGACUCGUCAAAGGGUAAAAUAGGAACAAACCCACGAGGUGUUUCUGAUUGUCAGGUGGCUGCAACUAAACGUGGAGAAAAAAACAUUGAAAAAUCAAGAAAAUCGAAAACUCUUACGGAGGUUUGUGUGUUGGAUGACGUGUCGGGUGGAAGAGAGAAGUUGCCGAUUCGUGCGUUGAACGGAGUGGACGAAGAGCGGCCCCCGACUUUCACUUACGACACCAUCAUGGAAUAUCCGUAUUGGUAUCGGCUAAUUAACCCCGUCGGUUGCGAUUGCGUGGACGGUUGCUCGGAUUCCGAACCGUGCGCUUGUGUGUUGAAGAACGGGGGCGAGAUCCCGUUUAAUGAAAAUGGAAAAAUAAUAAGGGCGAAGCCUAUAGUUCACGAGUGUGGCCCUUUAUGCAAAUGCCCCCCUUCUUGUAUGAAUAGAGUAAGCCAAAACGGGCCCCGCUAUAAAUUGGAGAUUUUCAAGACUGAGUCGAGGGGUUGGGGUGUGAGAUCUCCGAGUUACAUUUCUUCCGGAAGCUUCAUAUGCGAGUACAUUGGGAAGCUAUUGAGGGAUAAAGAAGCGGAAAAGAGAGUUGGCAAAGAUGAAUAUUUGUUUGAUAUAUGCGAUGAUUCUCACGAAGAAGAAGGUCAAGGGAAAGUUUGUUCGAAUGAAAAAUCGAGUGUUGAUGGAUUUGCUAUCGAUGCUGCAUUGUACGGGAAUGUCGGGAGAUUUAUCAACCAUAGCUGCUCACCUAACCUUUAUGCACAAGAGGUUCUUUACGACCAUGACGACAGGAGAAUGCCACACGUUAUGUUCUUUGCCUCAAAGAAUAUACGUCCUAUGAAAGAGCUGUUUUAUGAUUAUAAUUAUAAGAUGGAUCGAAUUUGUGACGUCAAUGGGAAUAUUAAGACCAAGGAUUGUCAUUGCGGCUCACGAAAAUGCACGGGGAGGAUGUACUAGCUAUCGACACGGCAGAUCCUUCGUUUUCUUUGGUUCAACUUCUAUGUAUGGUUAGGGUUAGUAUUGGUAUUUUUCUUUUCUUUUUUUCUUUUUUUUUUUGUUGGGAUAUGUUAGGAGUAUUGUUAAGUGAUGUAUUGAAAAGUGGAGUUGAAUGAGUUACCUUUUUACCCUUAUUUUCAUUUUCACAUGGUUUUUUAUAUAAUAUUUUCAUUUAAAUUGACAUCGGUAAGGAUACCGAAGUGUUUGAUCAUUAUUGUGUACGAAUCAUUACAGUACCAAAAAAUGUGGUAUACCGAUGUACAGUAAAACGUUACUUACGGUGGUACACGGUACGGUACACUACCAUUAUCUUAUACUCCUUCGAUCUCUUAUUAUUGGUCGUGUUGUUAAAUCCGAAAGUCUCAAAUUAACUUGCAAUCUUCUCUUUUCAACAGUGGUGUCUGUAUUUUAAUUCAAAACAUAUACACCAAGAAAUAAAAAAGGGACUAUUAGUGAGAACCCCCUCCACCUUUAUUUUAAUGGGGCUAUAUGCCAAACACCCUUCAUUGCAAUUUUAAUUCUUGAUAAAUCCUUUAUUUAUUAAUGAUAUUUGAGAUAAAUCCAAUGGACCUGAAAAACCAUAUAUGCCCCCAUUAAUUAAUCAUUAGUAUAAUUAUUUAAUUACAAACAAAUUAUACCCAUAAUCUACACCCAAAUCUGCUCCAAAAAUUAUUUCUCUCAUCACGCCAAUUCAGUUUUUUUCUCCUUUUCUUUUUUAUUUUGUUUAAUAGUUUUCUUUAUUUCAAUUUAAAUAAAAUUUUGUAGUUAUUUUUAUUUUUAUUUUUAUUUUAAUUUUAUUUUCGGUUUUUUAUUUUAAAUUAUUUUUUUCUUAUUUAUAUUUUUAAUAUUUUUUAUUUUAAUUAAAAAAAAUAGUUUUAUUUUUAUUUUCGUUUUUUCAUGGUUUUUCUUUUUUCUUAAUUUCGAAUUUUUUUAAAAAUGUUUUUUUUUUCUUUCCAGUUUUUUUAAAUAAAAACCACUCUAUAUAAACACGAAAACCACUCUGUAUAAAUAGUUAUAUAAACAUGAAAAUCACUCUGUAUAAUAACUAUAUAACAUGAAAACCACUCUGUAUAACAUACUAUAUAACAUGAAAACCACUAUGUAUAACAACUAUGUAAACUUGAAAACCACUAUGUAUAACAACUAUGUCAACAUAAAAACCACUCUGUAUAUACAGUUAUAUAAAAAUCUGUACAAUAAAUUUAUCACUCCGUAUAAAUUUAUCAAAGACAAAGCAUGACAUUAUGAAAACCACUCCGUAUAAACAACUAUAUAAACAUGAAAACCACUAUGUAUACACAACUAUAUAAACAUCGAAAACCACAAUGAAUUCUAACAAUAAAACAUCAAAUUUCAACAAAAAAAAAGCUAUGAAACCACUAUAAAGGACACCAUCUUCUCUCCAAUGAAUCUUCGAGCAUAAUCCGUGUAAUCAUCUUCUUCUCGUUAUUCCAUUGCGUCCUCAAAAUUUGAGCCAUAAACUAAUAUUGAUAUCCUGUAUAAAUUACCAAAAUAUUGAAAACUGGAUUCUUAAAUGCAUAAAAUAAUAUAAAAUUCAAAUAUCAUACUAACAUCCCUCGUACAAAAUUACAAUAUAUCUAGGAAAAUAGAAUUCCCAACGUGUGGCAAUGAAUAUCCAUUACCAAAAAUUAUGAGCAGAUUUCGCCUAAUUUAUCCUAUAUAUCCUAAUAAUGACUUGAAUUAGAAAGGAAGUAACGCAAAAAGAUUUAGAAAAAAAUAUGAAAUACUAGAACAAAAAAAUCUCAAAUUAUUCAGUAAUUUAAUCUAGACCUUCGGAAAUCUAUGGAAUAGUAUACGAACAAUUAUCUGAUAAAGCAGAAAAACAGAAAUAGUAAAUGAUUAGGGCUCUGUUGUGCUUCACUAGAAGGUUAAGUUGAAACUUAAUCAAAAUGAACAUGUAUAACCUUGUAGAAAAGAUCUUCCACUUCUCGCUCCCGAAUGUCACUGGGGAGGUUACCGACAUAGAGAGUUCUGCUAGAGCGACUCAUCCUUGCUACAGAAAAUCAAGCAAAAAAAUAAUAAAUAAUAAUAAAUAAGAAAAAAUAAAGUAAGAGUACAUAAUCUACAUGAUUACAAUUGCAGAAAACAAAAUCAAUGAAUAUGGCGAUAAAGAUUGUCUCCGGGAGGCUGGAAUUGGAGUUUACCUUGAAGAACAGACGACGGAGAAAAUUAACCCAGCUUAGAAACGGACCGGAUGGUGUCGAAUCAGAAUAUUCUAGGGUUUUGAAUUGAUGUAAACAUAAUUUCGAACACAAAAAAAAAAAAAAAAACAUGACUAUUAAGAACUUACAGAGUUUGCGUAAUAGCACGAGAACCACUCUGUGUGUUGUUAAUAUGAAACGUUCUGGUCCUACAAUCGGAUCGGUAGAAGAAGUGUGGAAAAAAUACAGAGAUAGCUAUGAAACGGUUUCUCUGUAAUUAAGGGCCGCAAUCGUGGGAUUAUAUGAGGAUGUGUUGUUACGAUAAAAUAGGAAAAUAUAUUACAAAUCUUUUUUAAUUUUUUUUUUAUUUCCAAUCAUAAAACAUACGUUACUUUUAAGUUGGGGGUAUAAUAGUGAUAAUUUAUUAUUUUUUAUUAUUUAAUAAUUAAAUGGAUUUAUCUCAAAAAGUUCUAAAAAAAUUGUACCUACUGUAAUUAGACUUGUGUAAUGGGGGACUUUUGACAAAUAAUCCCUAUUUUAAUAAGGAUGGAUCCAGCUCAUUUUUCUUUAUUAGUGAGAGACCCAUCCUUUUUUUAUUCUCAAAUUUACCCUUCCUCUAUUCACUAAUUAUUAUACACUACUUUGAUACACUUUUUUAUUUUUUUAUUUUUUUUUUAUUUUAAUUUUAAUUUUCGUUUUUUUAUUUAUUUCUUAUUUAAAAAAAAUAUAUUUUUUUAACUUUUUUAUUAUAUUUUAAAAAAAUAUUUUUUUACUAUAUUUUUUUGUUUUCACUUAAAACAACUAUAUUUCAAUAAAACAACUAUUAUUAAAACAACUGUUAUUAAAACAACUAUAUAUCUCCAACAACUCUCAUCUAUCAAAAUCAACUAUUACAUUCAACUAAAAAGUAAUAAAAACAACUAUAUUGCUGACGAAAACAACUAUAUUGUUGUACGAAAACAACUAUAUUGAUGUACGAAAACAACUAUAUUGUUGUACGAAAAUAUCUAUAAAUCUGUAAAUAACACCACACAAUUUCAACAAAAACAAAACCUACAUUAUACUAUUGAUUGAACACAAAAUUAGCCUUCUGUAUAAGAAUUCAACCAAAAACUCCAAUUAAGAAAAUUAAGAUUCGAGAAUUGGAUUCAAAAAAAAAAAAACUCAGAGAAGAAGAAGAACAACAACAACAAUGAAACAAUGUGGCGGUGGUCUGUAUUGAAAUCUCAGACGCAAUAUCAACCCUAGCGCCGUUGCACAAUCUCGUCUUUCUCCCUAGCGAAAACCCAAACGCCGUCCUUGACGAGAGAAUCCCAGGGGUGAAGACCGACUUCUUUUCGCGUCGGUGGAGGGAGGAACGCGUUGGGAGAAGAGAGUAACGAUGGCGGCGCAGAGAUGGAAGAGGGUUGGAGGCGGUGGCAGAACACAGAUGGAAGAGAGUUGGAGGCGGCCGAUAUGUAGAGAGAAAAGAGAGAGAGAAGAAUAAGAGAAAUAGAGAACGUGAAAUAGGUUUAAUUAUUUUAGAUAUAAUAGGGCAAAUUAGGUAUAUUAGUAAUGUCUAAAAUAAUAUUAAUUAAAAAAAUAUUAUUUAAUAUAAGAUGGGGAGUUUUCACUAAUAAUGAAAAGGAGGUUAUAUCCACCUUAAUAUAAGUAAAUGAAUUGGGGGGUUUUCACUAAUUAUCCCAAUAAAAUAAUGGUCAAGAAAAGGUGUUCAUUAAAUAACACACACAUUACAAAAACACAUAAUACUCAAAAGGCAAGCUAAGCAACAUUUGCAAAUAAAAAACCACAUUUAUUCAUAACAAGUAAGUGAAUAUCGAGACUUCUUUGGACCCGUCUAUAGUAGCUUUGCUUAGAAUUAAGUUUGCGGCGUGCUGAGGGAGAGGCUGCAGCAAAGGAUAAAGCUGGAAAGAAUAACGCCGUAAAAUCAUAACAAGCGCCAUUUUAGCUUCCAAAAUUGCAAAAUUAAGUCCUAUACAUCUCCUCGGUCCAUAACCAAAUGGGAAAUACGAGAGUUGCCCUUUUGUUGCUUUUGAGACGCCUUCGCUGAAUCUGUUGGGAUUAAAUUAAUUUGCAUCGUGGCCCCACGUUUUUUUUGUCAUGGUGAAUUUGAAUCACAGGCAGGAAGCGUCCUUGUCAGCGGUUCAGCUAAGAAGGAUCCCUGGUGGAUAUAAUCUUAGAACCUGGUGUAGAAUCAUGGAUAACUGCAUGAAUGCUUGUAAUCGUUACCCUUGAAUCCGAUUCGAAGACAUAAUUUUCAAGAGAAAAAGGAUGUAUAAAGAGUUUUCUUUACAAAUCGUAGAACAAUUCCAUCAAUGCAUUAUGUUGAUUAAAAUUUUUAUGUGUAUAUAAAAAUCAAGCUGAAUUUGUGUUUAGUUCGAUUAAAGCUCGUUCAAGCUCAAUUUUGACUGAUAGUCAAACAAAGCUCAAAAACGCACCUGCCAAUAAUAAAUUGGCAUUAGUGAUACCUUAAUUGUGAUAAUAUCAAAAGUUAUCACUAAUAGCUGAAAGACACACAACAUUUCGUAUGGUGUCACUAAUAGCUGAUUUUGUUGCAAUAUAUAUAAUCAUUUGUAUUUUCACUAUAUAGAAGUAACAAUCAAUUUUUACAGCCACUACAUACAAUUAGUGGAUAGCCUAUCACUGCAACAUUUUUUGCCUAAUCAUGUAAAAAUAGGUGUUGUCACUAAAAGACUAUUUCUUGUAGUGACAACUUCUCUAUAAGUUUAAACAAGUUUGAAUAAUCAUAUGCUCUGGCUCAAUUGAAUUCGAUUGACUUACAUCCUAAUUAAUAUUGAUAUCAACACGUCAUUAUAUAUGGAUGCGAGUUUCGAUGAUGCAAGACAUUGUACAAUAGUCUAAGAACAAAACUUACUAUUUUGAGGUGAUUUAGCUCUUGAAAAUCUCGCUUUCUUGUCCCAAAAGUUUCUAGAACCUCCUCUCUGCCACGAGACUGCCAAUCUGAAUGCUUACUCAAUAAAAUCAUCGUCCGGACAAGCGAGGACUAGAUUGUCUCUUGUCCAGUAAAGUAGAAAUGUUUGCACUCCUCAAUAACUUUCUUGAUACUCAUUCCGAAUUUGUCCCCAUUUCAUUGGAUUUCCUUUAAAUUGGAAUCCAAUAGAAUACCCAGCAAGUCAUCACCACCAUGGCUAGCUUCCACUGCUUUCAUUCCCUUAAUUCUCUUAUCAAUAAUGCCACGAAUAGAGGAAUCCAUUUCCUUCCAAUUUGCUUCAUCCUUGUGUUGAUCUUUGUGGGCAACUGCAUAUACAUAACAGAACAUACAGUAGAACCUCGAUAAAUUAAUACUCAAUAAAAUCAUAUCCUCACGUAAAUAAUAUUUUUUUCCCAUACAUGGUAAAUUUUUAAUUCAAUAAUUUAAUAUUUCACUAAUUAUUAGACUGAAGGGUUUGCAUGAUAAGCGCAGCUUGUUCUGUCCGAAGCUGGAUUAUCUUUAUUCCUUGUUUAUAGCUACUGCCAAAGCAGUGCAUGAAAUAGCAUUGCUCAUCAAUGUUUGGAGAUACGGCACACGAAGGGCCGGCCCAAGGCAUAACCUAUAGGCGGGAAGGGCCUUCGCCUUGGGCCUCCAAAAAAUAGAACGUUUUAGGGGCCUCCAACAUUUGAAAUGUCAUAUAUAUAUAUAUAUAUAUAUAUAUAUAUACCACGUGCGUUUGCACGUUAUUAUAACAUAUGAUUUGAAUUAAUACAUAACUUAUGAUUAAUUAAUAAAAGUUACAUACUAUAUUUUGCAAAACAUAUAUUUUAAAAUAAUAUUAAAUAAGUAUAAAAUAUCAUAUUCUACUCAUGUAUUCAAACGUAUGAUAAAAUAAAAUUAUUAUAAAAUUGAAAUCAAUAAGAAUCAAAUUGAAAAUUAAAAGUACAUUAAGUUUCUAAUACUCAGCUAAACUUUUUUGUACAUGAAUAUUCACUUACAUGUUUAUGAUAUAUCACUGAAAAACUCUAUUAUGAGUUUUGUAUGAAAUAAAUUUUAUUUAAAAAAUUAAGAAAAUAAACUUUGACUUCAGAAAGAAAUUAUAAUAUAUGAAAAAAUGAUCAUACUUUUAAUAUAACAUAAGAUAAAUAUAUUAUUAUUGGUAUUAGUAAAUAGUAAUCAGUUGAGUUUACGCUAUUUUAGUUUUAUAUUUUUGGAAUUUACGUAAUAACAAUUAUACAAGAAUUAAUUUAAUAUUCAAAACAACUUUUGGUAUAUAAUUCUAAACUUAAAACAAGAGGAUUUAUUUUAAAUAGUAUUGCACAUAAAUAUGCUUGUAAUAUUAAGAUCAUUGGAAAACUCUUGAUUUGUAAGUCUAAAGAAGAAGAAUUGUUGACAUUUAAUGUAUAAUUACGAUAACCAAGAAAAAAAAAACUUUUAACAUAUUUUGUAGUAUACUAACGGGCCCUUGCCAUUAAAAUUAUAUUUACUUAAAAGUAAAUAACAUACAUUAUCAUUUAUUAACUUAUUACGUUUUUAUGUUUUUUUUACAUGAUUAACUAUUGUUAUGUUUGUGCUAAAAAUGGUAUUUUUCAUGAACUUUCAGUGAAAAAUGAGGUUGUAGAAAGAAGGAGUAUAUAUGAUAUUUCUCGAAAUGGCCGGUGUUAUGUUAAAUGCAAAAAUAUUUCUAAGAAAUUUUGGGCUGAAUCUUUAAACAUGGCUUGACAUAUUUCUAAUCGUGUUUAUAUGAGAACAUGUUGUAUACUGACACCAUAUGAGAUAUUCAAUGGUAAACAUGUAUAUUUGCUUAUCUAAUUCUGUUAAACAUGAUCAUUCUAGUCUUUGGCAUACAAGGUUAGGUCACAUAAGUGCCAGAGGGCUUGAGUUAUUGCAUAAAAGCAAUUAUCUUUAUAAUGACUGUGUGUCUGAUCUGCCCAUAUGCGACUCAUGCAUUUUAGGAAACAGACUAAAGUCCAAUUUCCUGUCUCAUUUCCCUAAUUCUUCUAAAUGCACUGAUAUCGUUGAAUACAUACAUGCUGAUGUGUGGGGCCCUGGCCCAGUUCAAUGUCAUGGUGGUAAUAGAUAUUUCCCCUCUGUGCAUGGUUGAUGAUUUUUCCAGAAAAGUGUUUGUAUUCUUGCUGAAAAAUAUGUGUUUCAAAGAUUUAAAGCAUGGAAAGUUUAAAUUUAAAAUCAAACUCCAAAGAAAAUUAAAACCUUGAGAACAGACAAUGGAACUGAAUUAUGUAAUGCUGAAUUUGAUGCUCUGUGUGUUGAGUCUGGCAUAAAGAGGCAUAAAACUGUAGCUUACACCCCUCAGCAAAAUGGUGUUGUUGAGAGGAUGAAUAGGACAUUACUUGAUAGAGUUAGGUCCAUGUUAGAUGCAUCUGGCUUAUCUAAAAUGUUUAGGGGUGAAGUUGUUUUAACUGCUGUAUAUGUGAUCAACAGAUCACCUUAUGUGCCUUUACGUGGUGAAUUACCUGAAACUAAGUGGUCUGGUAUUCCUGUUAGUUUGUUUAAUCAUAGAGUAUUUGGUUGCUCUGCCUUUGUGCACCAGAAACAUGAUAAACUUUGUCCCAGGUCUGUUAAAUGUGUAUUUUUGGGUUAUCCAAAGGGGGUUAAGGGUUAUAGGUGCUGGCUUAAGGGGGAACAGGGAUGUAAAACUGUGAUUAGUAGAAAUGUGAUAUUCAAUGAAAAUGAAUUUCCUUGUCUAUCUGUUGUUUCUUCUGAGUCUACCUCUACAGAGGUGGAGACUUCCCCUACUAUUCCUGUUCAACAUGAAAACGUGUCUGAUUCUGAUAGUGAAACUGAUAACAAUGUGCCUGAAAAUGAUAUAUUUGGUCAAAAUAAUAAUACUGAUGUGCCUUAUGUGGACAAUCUUGGUGAUUACCAACUUGCUAGGGAUAGAGGUAAAAGGAACAUCAUUAGGCCUCAUCAUUUAGAUGAGUAUCAGCUUGCUUCAUAUGUGUUUCAUGUUUUUGAGUCUUUGGAUGGUAAUGAACCUAAGUCUUAUAGGGAAGCUCUUAAAUCUAAUGAAUCUGUCUCUUGGUUAAAUGCUAUGAAUGAAGAAAUUGAAUCUUUGCAUGUUAACCAUACUUGAAUUCUUGUGCCAAAACCUGUUGAAUGCUCUUUAGUUGAUUGUAAAUGGCUGUUUAAGGUAAAUAAUAAAUCUGAUUUAAUCAGAUAUAAGGCUAGGCUAGUGGCUAAGGGGUUCACCCAAAAAGAAGGAAUUGAUUACAUAGAAAUAUUUGCUCAUGUUGUGAAAUUUACCACUGUGAGAAUAAUGCUUGCUCUAAUUGCUCAAUUUGAUUGGGAAUUAAAACAAAUGGAUGUGAAAACUGCAUUUCUCCAUGGUGAAUUAGAUAAGCAAAUAUACAUGAAACAGCCUGAAGUUUUUCUUGAUAAGAAACAUCCUGAUUAUGUGUUGGGUUUAUUGAAAAAAUCCUUGUAUGGUCUUAAGCAGCCCCCUAGACAGUGGAAUAAGAAAUUUGAUGCAUGCAUGAAGUCCUUGAAAUUUUUUAGAAGUUCUUAUGAUCCAUGCUUGUAUUUCAAACAAUCUGCCCAAAUUCAUGUUUUGUUGCUCCUUUAUGUGGAUGAUAUGCUUUUGACUAGUCCUUGUAUUAAAACAAUCAAUUAUGUCAUUAAAUUUCUUAGUGAUGAAUUUGACAUGAAAUUGCUUGGUAAUGUUAAAAGGAUACUUGGCAUGGAUAUAAUCAGAAAUAUAAAAUGUUGUUCAUUGUUUCUGAAUCAAUCUUCUUAUACUGAAAAAGUCCUUGAGAAAUUUUCUAUGCAAUCUGCAAAACAUGUAUAUGUUCCUCUUGCUGCCCACUUUAUGCUAAGUAAGGAACAAUGUCCCAAGACUGAACCUGAAAUGUCUGAAAUGAAGAAUGGACCUUAUGCUAAUGCUAAAGGGUCUGUUAUGUAUUUAAUGGUCAGCAUUAGACCAGAUAUUGCUUAUUAUGUGAGUUAUUUUAGUAGAUACAUGUAUAAUCCAGGUUUGCCUCAUUAGGAGGCUCUUAAGUGGUUGCUUAGAUAUUUAAAAGGAUAUGUUAAAACUGGCUUGUUGUUUUCUAAGUGUAAACCUGAUAGUGAACUCUGUGGGCAUGUGGAUUCUAAUUUUGCCAAUGAUAGGGAUACCAGAAAAUCCUCCACUUCUUAUGUGUUUACUUUAAAUGGUUCAUGUGUAAACUGGAAAUCUCAGCUUCAAACCAUUGUUGCUCUGUCUGCGGACUGAGGCAAAGUAUGUAGCUACUACAGAAGCCUUUAAAGAAGCUAUAUGGCUGAAAGGUCUAUUGCUUGAAAUUGGUUUCUUGAGAAACAAAGUGGUAGUUUUUUCUGACAGUCAAUCUGGUAUUCAAUUGUUCAAAAGCCCUGUCUUCCAUGAUAGAACCAAACAUAUUGAGAUCAAAUUUCAUUUCAUUAGGAGAAUUGUGGAGGAAGGGAUUAUUUAUCUUGAAAAAAUCCCAUCAGAGUUCAACCCUACUGAUAUGGGAACUAAGUGUUUACCAAUUGAGAAAUUUCGUUCUUGUUUGAAAAACUUGAACCUAAUUUCACAAGAUUAAAUUGAUGUGUGCUUUUGUUACAGUCUGUGUGACUGAUUUUUUAUGUGCUUUAUGUGUGAUUGCUUGUAUGCAUGCUUUUCUUUGUGAACUGCAAUGUGUCUAUCUGUGUGAUCUAGUUCUGACUUUCUGUGUGAAAGCGGAAAGAUAUACUAAUAUUACUUUGUGUUUUACAUGUAUAUCAAAAAAACAAUGAUGACUUCCGACAACCAUAAAUUCACUAAUGAUACACUUUGGUCCAAGGUGGAGAUUUGUUAAGGUUGUGACCCAAUGUGUUUGGACCUGUAGCCCAAAUCUCAAUGUUACUUGCACACACACGCAUUACUAGAGAAUGGCCCAUUAGAUACUAAAUCCCAGUUGUGGGAAGCCACUGGAAGGAUGAACUUGAGCCGUUGGAUUUGUCCAACUCAUCCUAGCCAUUGACUCUUUCUGACUCUCCCUCUCCCUUUGUACUCUCUCUUUCCCGUUUUGUGCCCUAGACAGCCUAUGUUCUUCCCCUUUGUCCCCUUCUGCUCUUUACUCUUUUUGCUCCAGCAACCAUGGGCCAAACGCCGCCGUCCUUGGCCGUGCUUGUCCCAGUGGUGGUCCAUUCAACGGUUACCUUUGACUGGAGCACCUAUUUAAUGUGGGGAUUGAAGUGGCAGAAGGUAAGACCUAGAGAGAAACCCUAAUUUCAAAAACCUGAUCCAUCUCUUCUGUGAGUUGGCUCUAUGGUGAGUGGAUGAGUUGCUGAGUGCCUCGUUUUCAGGGUGUUACCUCUUAUCUGAGUGGGUUAGGGUUUGAGAGAGAGUGAGAGUGUGAGAGAUCUAUUCUCUGUUGGUGCAAUCUUAGUCUGUGUGUGUGUAAGCCUUGAGAUCUCUGUGAAUCUCUGGUGUGAAUCGGUUUGGAAGACUGAGUUGUGUUUUAUCCUAUAUCAUCUUUCAAUCGUUCUUUCUUAUUCAUAUGUGUUUACAUAUGAUUUAUUCAUCUAACGUUUAUCUGAGUUGCCUGUAGUAAGUUUCUUCAAGUGGAAACAUAAUAUGACAAAACAAUUAUAAGAGAUUUAUUAUAAUUCCAUUUUACUUUUUCUUCAACUCUUCUGGAGUUUUACUUUAUUUCAUUUUCCUUCGGGACUCCUACUAAAUUUUACUACAUAAAUCAUUUGUAUGGAAUUAUUCAAAGGAAAACAUACCUUAUAAUACAUUUAUCAAAUAUUGGCAUCCAAUGAAUUGAUUUAUUUUUUUGAAAUCCAUAGUAAUAAAUCCGUCAUUUAAUUUGUAUUGAAUAAUUUGAUGGGAGAAUUUCAAAUCCGUACUACUAUCUAUCAAACUAAAAUUAUUUGAUGAAUCAAUUUCUGUUAGAUUUCAAUCAUUAACUCUAUUUUCACUUAAUUUUAUGUUAUCGUGGUAGAUUUCAAAUGCAGUUUAAAAUAUCUUAAAACUCAUGUUUACAUUAUAUUAUGGUAGUAGUUUAAGUUAUUUAACUAAAAAAUAAGCAUUAAAACUAAAUAAACUUUAGUGUAGCUACACAAAACUAUUUUCAAUAGGAACAAUGUCAGACUUACUUCCAUAUUUGAAACCAACUUCAAGUGGAUUAGGACAAAGUCUUGAAAGAUCUACCACCAGGCCCGGCCGGGUAUUGCAGGGGAAACAUUUGCUUUGGGCCCCCAACUAGGAAGGGGCCCCCAAAAAAAAGAAAGUGUAUUAUAUAUAUUGCAAAAAUUAAAUAUUAUAUAUUCUCAUUUACAUGAUCGGCAGAAAAAAAAAUUGCUUCUUUUGUUUUGUGGGCCCAAAGCUCUAAAAGUCAAACAUCAAUUAAAAAAGAAUAGUACUGUACUAGCAAACAAGUUAAACAAUUACAAAACCUAUUUUUCUAACUUUUUCGGUGGCUGCGGCGGUUGCAGGGGAAUUGCUUUUCCCAUUCUUCAAAUUCUGCAUACAAGGUUUGUGUUCUUUAAUUUGAGUAUUUGACAUAUAAUAUACAUAUAAUUUCUUGAAUAUAGGACCUUUUCUUGCAUCAAAUUUUAACAAAGCUAAUAAAUUAUUAUAUUCAAGUAUGAUUUUUUUUCUUAUUAUAAUAUAGUACUGGUUUUUUUUUUUUGUAGACUAAAUUCUUUGGAGUUUGUCCGGUGUCCUGAAUUGAAAUUGCUAAUUAUGGGUCCGCGAAAAUAUGUGUGGGAAUGAUAAAAAAAAAAAACAAAAAGUUGAAGAUUUUGUGCAAUCUAUGGCUGGUACAAUUGAAAAGUUUAUAACAAGGGGCAAUAAUACAGUAAGUUCGGGUUCAAAGUCAGUUGAGAAUUCGAUGAACACUGAUUUUUCAAUUGAGGCGGAAUCUGAUUUAAAUAUUGAGGAACAACAUGAAGAUCAAGUGAAAGAAGAACGUGAUAUCUUGGUGAACGAAGAACCUAACGAAGAACCUAGUCAAAACAAUGAUGAAAAUUCGAAUGAGGAUAAACAAGAAGGUUGUGAAGCAGGGCCUUUGAACAUCGAUCCCGGAAAUUGGGAUAAGAUUGAUCACAGUCUGAGAAAUAUUUUGGUAGAAAGAGGGCCAAUAAGAAUAACAGAUGAUGAUGUCACUUUUCCUAAAGAUAGGAGUGGUAGACAUUUUUCUUGUACAUUUUAUGUCCGAGAUCUGUUAAAUGGGGAGAAACCAGAUAGUAAAUGGUUGGUAUAUUCCCUUGUUGAAGACAAAAUAUUUUGUUUUUGCUGUAAAUUGUUCAAGCAGGAUAAAGUCAUCUCUCGUCUAACUGCUGAAGGAUACAAGGAUUGGAGAAAUAUUGGUAAAAGACUUAAAAGUCACGAAACCAGCAGAGAACACCUUACAUGCAUGAGUAAAUGGAUUGAUUUGCAGAUGAGACUGAAAAAGUACGAGACAAUAGACAAGAGUUUGCAAGUGCAAAUCAAUAAAGAGAGAGAACAUUGGCGACAAGUAUUAUUGAGGAUAAUUGCUCUGGUGAAAACACUUGCUAAUAAUAAUUUAGCAUUUCGUGGAGAUAAUGAGAAAAUUGAUCAAGAGAACAAUGGCAAUUUUUUAAGCUUUAUUCAGAUGAUUGCAGAAUUUGAUCCAAUUAUGCAAGACCACCUCCGGCGUAUUAAGGGUGGAUCGAUUUAUCAUCAUUACCUCAGUCACAAGAUUCAGAAUGAAUUGAUUCAGAUGUUAGCAGAUGAAACUAGAAGUGCAAUUGUGAAAAUCAUCAAAGAAGUGAAAUACUUCUCCGUAAUACUUGAUUGUACUCCUGAUAUUAGUCACGAAGAACAAAUGACUCUGGUGGUUCGAUGCGUAGAUAUUUCAGCAGUGCCGGUAACAAUUAAAGAAUUUUUUGUGCAAUUUUUGAAAGUGGAUGACACAACAGGUUUGGGCCUUUUAAUGUACUUAAUGAUGUAUUGAACACUCUUGAACUUGAUAUUGCCGACAUAAGAGGUCAAGGUUAUGAUAAUGGGGCUAACAUGAAAGGAAAACACAAAGGUGUUCAGAGAAGACUACUUGAAGUGAACCCGAGAGCGUUUUAUACACCAUGUGGUUGUCAUAGUUUAAAUCUUACACUUUGUGAUAUGGCUGGUUGUUGUACCAAAGCUGAAUCUUUUUUCGGAGUAGUGCAGCGUAUUUAUACUUUGUUUGCAUCUUCUACAAAGCGGUGGGAUAUUUUAAAACGUCAUGUUCAAGAGCUUACACUUAAGCCAUUGUCUCAAACUCGAUGGGAAAGUCGUGUUGAAAGUCUUAGAGCUAUUAGAUACCAAGCACCAAAAAUAAGAGAUGCAUUACUUGACUUGACAAAUAGUAGAUAAGACGCCAAAACAAAGAGUGAAGCUAAUUCUUUGGUCACUCAUGAACUUGAGAAUUUUGAGUUCUUGUUUGGCAUGAUUAUCUGGCAUAAUGUGUUGUUUACUGUAAACGUUGUUAGCAAAAUUCUUCAAGCUGAAGAUAUGGAUAUUGAUGUUGCUAUCAAACAACUUAAGGGAUUAAUUUCCUUUUUUGAGAAGUACAGAGAAAGUGGAUUUUCGGAGGCAAAGGCUGAAGCAAAUGAAAUUGCAAACGAGAUGGGAAUUGAUCCUGUAUUUUUCUGAAAAACGCAUCAUUCAUAGAAGAAAACAUUUUGACGAAAGUUGUAGUGAAGAUGUGUUACAAUAAACCGAAGAAUGCUUUAGAGUGAAGUACUUUCUCUAUGUGGUAGAUCAAGCGCUUCUGUCGCUCAAUACCAGAUUUGAACAACUUCAAAAAUAUGAUGAAAAUUUUGGUUUUUUGUUCGACUUCAAGAGACUAAAAUCGAUUGAUGAUGAGGCUUUAAAUACUUACUGUGUCAACCUUGAAGAGUAUUUGAAACACGACACUUGUGAUAUUGAUGGGGUGGAUUUAUGUAUGGAGUUAAAAAUCUUUAGAUAUAUUUUACCAGAAGAACUGAAAAGGCCGAUUUAAGUGUUGAAUUAUUUGCAGGUUAUAGGCGGUGGUUUUCCGAAUACAUGGAUUGCUUACCGGAUUUUGUUGACGAUUCCAGUUACUGUUGCAUCAGCUGAAAGGACAUUUUCAAAGUUAAAGUUGAUUAAGUCUUACCUCCGAUCAACCAUGUCGCAAGAAAGAUUAAACGGACUAGCGAUGUUGUCGAUUGAGAAGGAUAUGGUACGAAAGAUUGAUUAUUCGAGUGUUAUUAGUGAUUUUGCUUCAAAAAAUGCUAGAAGGGUAAUAUUUAAGUAUUUAAUUGUAUUGAAGGUUUAUCCUCCUUUAUUGAUUUAAUUAUCUAUGACGAAAUAGUUUUAUUUGUUCAUCAAAAUUACUCAAUCUACUGUGUUUUUGCUUCACCAUGUUUCACUGCUUAAUUUUAUAUGUAUAUAGUAGUUUCCUUUUUUAUUGUUUAAUAAACACCUCUAAUGUAAAAAUAUAUUAAUUAUGAAAAAGUUCAAUAAUAUUAUCGGAAAAAUGGACAUUAUUUCAAAACUUGCUUAGGGCCCCCAAAUUCGAUGGACCGGCCCUGUCUACCACCUUAUAUGAACUGUAUAUUAUAUCCUUGCUACUCACGAAUCUUUUGCAAACAGUUUUGGGGUUGUCUAGGGUCCGAGAUGGGUUGUACUACUCGGACCGAAACGAUUUAAUAUAGUGCGUAGAAAAUAUUUAGUAAAAAUUUAUAGUCGUUGAUUUAAAGUACGAACUAGUACGAUCCAGUACGAACCUAUAAAUUUAUAAAUUAAAGUACGAACCCAAUAAAAAUAGAUCGUACAAAGGUCGUACUCCAUCGUACUUCAUGUAAAAUUACUUUAUUAACCUUACAUUAUUAAACCACAAAAUUAAAAGUAGGGUUAACUGUACUUUGCCCCUAACUUUGGUCAUUUAUGCACUUUGCCCCCCAAAUAAAUUUUUUUUUUCCACGAUCAUACCUUGACUAACUAAUUUAGCCCAAUUUCACCAAUGAACCAAUUUUUUACCAUAAUUUCAAUUUUGACCCCAAUUUUAACUCGCCACCACCGGAGACCGCCAGAGACCCACGGUCUCCGGCGUUAACUCUUUUUUUUUUUUUCAAAUUUUUUUUUUUGUCUGAAAUUCUUUUCGGGUAGCUCAAUCGCAGGGUCUCCGGCUUCGAUUUUUUUUUCUUUUUAAUUUUGUUUUUUCUAAAAAAAACUAUUUUAACUAAUAUUAAUGUAUUGGUUGUUAAAUUAUUGUCUUCAGCAAUUACUUAACUGUCGGAGAGAGUAAUUUAAUGUUAAUUAACCUUUUUUUUCUUAAAAAAAAUAUAUUAAUUAAUAUUAUUAUCUUGACUACUAAAUUACUGUCUCCACAGUUAUUUAAUUGUCGGAGACAGUAAUUUAACUGUUAAUUGAUUUUUUUUUCUUAAAAAAAAUAUUUUAAUUAAUAUUACUGUCUUGGCUACAGUAAUUUAGCUUUCGAAUACAAUAAUUUAACUGUUAAUUGACUUUUUUUUUCAAUUUUGUUUUUUCUUAAAAACAAUAUUUUAAUUAAUAUUACUGUCUUGGCUCAAAAUUACUGUCUUCAACAGUAAUUUAACUGUCUGAGACAAUAAUACUACUGUAUUAAUUAAUUUUAUCGUCUUGGCCUGCAUUAUUGUUGUCUUCGACUGUAAUAUUAUUGUCUUCGACCGUAAUAUUACUGUCUCAAGCAAUAAUGUCACUGUUUGGGACAGUAAUAUUAGUAAUAUUACGGUUGGGGAAAUAAUAUUCAUAAUAUUACUGUCCGAAACAGUAAUAUUAUUGUCUGAAAUAGUAAUAUUACUGUAUGAGACAGUCAUUUAGUAGGCAAGAUAGUAAUAUUAAUUAAAAUAUUUUUAUCUAUGAAUUUGUUUUUCAAAAACGAAAUUAAAAAAAAAGUCAACGUCGGAGAGCGGCGGUCAACUACGGUUGACUGCCGGAAAAAAAAAUUCAGAAAAAAAAUGCUUUAAAAUAAAAAAAAUUCAAUGCCGGACAACGCCCGCCAGGUCAACGCCGGAAUCUGGCCGGAAAAAAAAAAUUAAGAAAAAAAAAAUAUUUUCUAAUAAAAAAUAUUUUUCAAAAAAUUAUUAAAAUGGGGGUUAAUGUGAUACAUUUGUUUAAAUUCUGGGUCAAUGUGUAAUAUUAAGGAAGUUAGAGUAUAAUGGAUGAAAUUGAUAAAAAAUAUAUUAUGGAGGGUAUUUUAGAGUAAAGACUUGGUGGUGAUGGGUUUAUUUGAAAGAUUGUUGUUUAUGUGGACCAAUGUGCAUUUAAGUCCCUUGUCAUGGCCCUAAUUAUUAAUUAUUAUUAAUUAUUACUUAAGUUUUAGUUAUAGGGGUUUUUAUGUAAUUUCACUUAUAAGGUAGGUAUCGUACUUUUUUUGUGGGGUUCGUACAAAUCAUACGUGUCACAUUUUUAUCGGUUGAUUUUCAAUCGUUUGAGUCCGAGUAGUAGAAUCCCUCUCGGACCCUAGACAACCCCAACAGUUUUAUGUCCGUUUUUUUAGCAUAAUCACAACAUAAAAUUGGUUAUGCCCAAACAUCUUGACACAUAAUUCUGGGGGAUUUUGGAGAUAUAUAUAUUUCAUUUUAGCGACUAUCGAGUAUUAUAAUAUUCUUAUUUUUCUCAAAUUUAGUAUUGUGAUAUGUGUCCUUAUACUAAAUGGAAGUAUUCAUGAAUAACAUGUUUUAGUCGUACAAUUCACGUAAUUAUUUUUUGAGAGAAAAAAAUGGAUUUUAUUAAUCAACGUAACAGAAUAGCGGUUAUAAUAUUUUGGAUGAAAAUAAAGGUAGGUUCGUCUCAGAAUAUGGACCCUUAAGCGAGAGACGGGCUACUUCGUGUGUUGUUUGUAUACAAGGUUUCGAAUCAGUUUUCAGCUGCUAAGGUAUCAGCCACGAUUGCCCCAUGCGUGACAUAUAUUUUUCAUCUUCAUGUAUCACUAUUAUUACUGCACCCAAAAUUAAAAUCAUCAUCACAGUCAGGAUGGCCGAGUGGUCUAAGGCGCCAGACUCAAGUUCUGGUCUUCGAGAGAGGGCGUGGGUUCAAAUCCCACUUCUGACAUUUUUUUAUUAUUUUCAAUAUUGUGAUGAUACAUUAUAUUUUUUUAUUUUCAAUAUUUUGAUGAUAUAUUAUAUUUUUUUUAUGUUUAUAUUAUAUCUAGUUUGGAUUAUGUUAUGUUUCGGUUCUGGUAUUUGAUUAAUUAAAUUAUAUUUGUAUAAAUCCAACUAAUAAAAUUCAAUUUCCAGCCGAUUUAUUACAUGUAAUGUGUUAGAAGUACCCCUAACAAUAUAUAGAUAAAUAAAUCCCAAAAUAAUAUCCCAUAUUUUUCUCCUCCUUUGACCUAUAUGUACCCAUAUCUAGCCAUCAUAAGUAUAACUGCAAAUUUGAAAUUGCGAAUUCCACAACUUCAGAAAAUUGAUUUCUUCAAUACCAAAACAUAUACAAAACUGUAUGGCGACUUCCAUAGUUUUUUUAAGAGAAUGACACCCAAUGAGGGUAGGGGUUAGACUUGACCGGUUGACCCCGUACCUGUUUAUACAAGAAAAGUUAAUAAGUAAAUAAUGAGUUCCGUGCAACCUGCUACAACCCAAUAGAUGGCUAAUAAUAGCAACUGAUAAACAAAAGACAAUAUAUAAAUAUGGCAUAUGCCCGAAAUAGAAACCUAACAAAAUGUUAAGAAUACGGGGAAAACAGGUAGCCCAAAUAAUAACAAGGGCAAGAGUGAGAAUGAUCAUUGAAGGUCGGGAAAUCCCAAGGUAGACCGUUCACCUCACCACAACAGGCGAGGCCACUUACAGUUCCGCCAAAGGUAGGUGAAACAGGUAUAACGGCUGCAAAAUGUGUGGCACCAUUCGCCAAAAAUUCCAGUCCUGAUAGACCCAGAUAAUCAAUAAUCACUCCAACCCUGCCUAAUAUGUAAUGUACAAGAAACUACCUAGAUUACGUAGAAUUUUCAAGUAGAAGCUGCCAAUAAUAUAAAAACAUGGAAUGCAUGGCACCUAUGUGCGAGACCGUCGUCGAAAGGAUGGAUAUUCAAGCUGGUCCAUCUGAAUCAUCUGCUGCAUUAAUCAGGGAAGCUCCGCUUUUGUGAAGAUAUGAUCCAACUCGAUCUGAAAACCCAAGUUAGCUAAUGCAUCAACGAGUGUAUUGCCCUCCCGGUAGAUAUGUGGUACUCCAACGUAGAAGUAGAGUUCCGUAAUGUCUUGAGCAAACUCUGAAGACUCCAAUGACUUCUGUUCAUGUGCGAAAGAAGCCGAACAACUACUUUUGUGUCAAGCUCAGUUCAAACUCUAGUGAAUUGCCUCUGAAUAACAAAUCUCAAUCAUGAGGCAAGGGCAGCAAGCUCCGCCGUAAUACUGCUUCGGGGAGGGAUCCUCUCGUGAAAUGCAAGUAAGGUCUCAGCGUCUGAACUUCUGAUAAUACCGCGAAUAGCUGCAAUCUGGGUGGAUGUUCUACGGGCUCCGUCUGUGUUCAGCUUCAUCCAACCCGAAUUCGGGGGAAGCCAAUCAACUCGAUGAGGUGUGGGAGUUUGUGUUCGGGCUCGAUAAUAUAGGCCAAGAGAGUCAGCCACGUUGGGAAUGCCUGUCCAGUUGUCCCCCAAAAGUAAUUUGGUCUGAUGAAUAAUCCUCAUGUAUUGGAUGACCUUGAAAAUGAUGGAUGAAGCACGAACUGUGAUAUCCUUGUGCUUGUUGCCAUUCCUUGAAGUUUAUAAGAACCACAAGAUCAUGUAAGACACAAUGGUCGUGAUGUGUGUGUGUGGUGUGUGAGUGUGUGCGAAGUCAAGUGCUGCCAAUAAAGUAAAAUUUGGGGUAUGUGCGUAGUGUGUGCAUGUGUAUACCAAAAAGAUAGAAAAAAUAAUAUCAUACCCUCUUAGCUGUCAGGCUCUCCAUGAAUAUAUGAUCGAUCGACUCAACGGAAGGAGACUCGACAAAGACAUAGAUGGAUCUGGACAACAAUAGCACCUCGAGACUGAUGUUUAAAGGCCCAAGUCGAGGUCAAGGAAAACUUGGCAUCCGAUGAAGUUCUCCGAAUGGAAAAAUCACCCGAAACACCACAGAUCGGGACCGAGCAAAUCAUAUCAAUCCACUCAAAAGCAAUAUCCUCAUCAAGCUUGUUCCAAUCCCCUUGACCAUCCACCAAAUAAUACUCCACUCGAACUGACGUAAACCAACAACCAUCAAUAAUACCCGAAAGGGGGCCAUCGCCAAACUAGUGGUCGUGCUAGAAGUUAACAUGACUAUACCCAAUCCGCCAAAAUAUAUGAGCAUGAACACGCUUACGGACACGGCAUGCGCUUUCACUAUGAAUUAAUGUAAUCCUCUAUGAACCAAACUACAAACAUAAUUAACAAAAAAACGUAAUCUAUUAUUAGAAACCUACAACAUUAUUCUGUAAACAUUCUUCUUCGUUCGGCAUUAAUUGAGGAUCAAAGAGAGACGCUCACAAGUCAUAAUUAUAUCUCUGAUUGAUGAUGGAUCAAGAGCAAACUCCCGAAGCAUUAAUUUAUGUGUAAAAAUAAUCUAUAUAUUCUGACAAUAGAAAACAUUGUCUUCUUUCGAAUGAACCCUUGAACAUACUUGACAUAAUCAUUUUUUUUUUAUCGUUCCAUUUUCCAAGCAUCACCAACCGAGCCCCCUGUCGCCAUCACUCCCGUUUGCUCGAGAGACUGAAGCGAAGAAAAAAAUAAUAAGGACAUGUUAUCAUUCAAGAAAAUUCAUUUUAAAAGGCAAGAAAUUGAAAUACACUAAAAAAAUAUCAUCAAAAUGCACUAAAAUAUCAGCAAAAUCCACUACAAAAAUAUUGAAAUCUAGUUAAAUAUUAACGUAAUCAAUUACAAAAUUAACCUAACCUACUAGAAAAAAAUUGCAAAAAAAACACAAUAAUUACCAAAAAAAAAACAAAAGAAAAAACCCUCAAAACGUAACAAAAAUAAUUAUAUUGGACACAUUCACUAAUACACAAACAGGCAUUGAUCCAUAUUCACUCAAUGCACACACAAGGUAUAAUCCACAUAUUUAACAAAUAUUAAUCUCCUAGUCUAUUAGUAAAAUAGAUAGCAUCUCUCAUGGAUUUUUAAUAUUUUGUUUUCUUAAACCUUGACAAAAAGAAAAAGAAAAAAGAUUCAAUUCAAGAUAUAAAUUCAAUUAAAAAAGUAACAAUAAUCAAUCAACAUAUAAACUCAAAUCUUCAAUUUUUAGUUCUGACCAUCACCAACAUCCCGUUGCAUGAAAAAACGCAUGUAUGCACGAAAAUAAAUUAAAAUUUUCGGCGAUGGAGAAAAAAACAAAGAGGCGAAGGAAACCCUAAUACACCUUUGAGCGAACCAGCUGCGGCCACAAUGGAACCGAAUCUUCCAGUGGUGGUUGUCGCCGCUUUAAGCGAGGUAGUCGGCUGCAAAGGAGUGACCGAAUUAUUAGGUGGAGGGGAGGAUUAUGCGUGAUAGAACGAGAGAGUAGAGAUGAGAUACAGAAAAAUGAAUGAAGAUGUAACGGUGGUUCAGUGCAAGACUAGGUUGAGCAUACAAUUUAAAGGUAUUAUAGCAUUAUAAUAAUUUAAUAAUAUAACAUUGAAGUUAAUGGAUUUAUCUCAAAAUGGGAUAAAAUAAAGGGGUCUUACGAUAUAUGUCUCUGGUGACAAAAUUAAUUAGAAAUAAAUGACAAGUCCAAUUAAACAUUCGCUUCACAUUUUUUUUUAAAUUCAUUCCAAAAAAUGCCCCUUCACUCACAAAUUCAAAAUUUUCACUAAGUAAAAUACAAACUGCACUUAUGAUUUUUUACUAUGCAUUUAAUAUCUUCAUUUUUUCUUUUUCUUUUUUGAGAAAAAUAUCUUCAUUUUUUCAUCUAACAUAUUUUUUCAUCUAACAUAUUUUUACAGACUUUGUAAUCUUUAAUAUUUCGUUUUUCACUCUGGUGAAUGUUUUACAUUACUAUAAACAACUGAUUUUUGUUUCCUUAUUUUUAACAUUUUAUUGAAAAUUACGAAAAAACAUAUUUUUCAUUUUUGUUAAAUAAUACAGCAUAUUUUAAAAUACUAUGGUAUACUAUGGUGUAUUAUAGUGAACUAUAGUUUACUAAUAUUGAAUUUAUGAAUGUUUUUAAAAAAAAUCGGUCGUUGUCAUAUAUAAACACCUAUAGGAUCCAUAGUAAUAUGUAGUCACAUACUCUUAAAACCCUAGCUCCCAUUUUGAACUCUAACCGCUACCCUUCCGUAGACACCAUAGUAAUCCAUAGACACUCGUAGUCAUUGGCACUCAUCCAAUAUAAAACCCUAGAUCCGCCACCACCUCUACAUAUAAAAAUGGAUCUCCGAAAUCUGCCUAUAAUCAUCGAACCUUUCAUCCUCUUCAUCUAUGUCUCACUCUCCAUCUUAAUUACCCUUCCUCUCCUGCAAACCCAACAUCAAAUUCCGACCAAAAAUUACCGUCGCCAUCGAAGAAAAUCACCGCCGACGCUAGCG
Molecule: long non-coding RNA, 40645 nt
Filed under: Erythranthe guttata (spotted monkey flower)
Lineage: Eukaryota; Viridiplantae; Streptophyta; Magnoliopsida; Lamiales; Phrymaceae
Description: long non-coding RNA (EGUT_LNC001952)
Rfam family: tRNA (bases 36167-36250)
Source: RNAcentral